Molecule: ribosomal RNA, 501 nt
Filed under: uncultured bacterium
Lineage: Bacteria
Description: bacterial SSU rRNA
Rfam family: Bacterial small subunit ribosomal RNA
Source: RNAcentral
AAUGAACGCUGGCGGCGUGUCUUAAGCAUGCAAGUCGGGCGGCAAGCGGUAGCAAUACCGCCUAGAGCGGCGGACUGGUGAGUAACACGUGGGUGAUCUGCCUCGGGGUUGGGGAUAGCCAUUAGAAAUAGUGGGUAAUACCGAAUACGCUUCCACGAUUACGGUCAUGGAAGGAAAGGCGCUAAGGCGCCGACCUGAGAUGAGCCUGCGUCCCAUUAGCUAGUUGGUGAGGUAACGGCCCACCAAGGCGAUGAUGGGUAGGCGGCCUGAGAGGGUGUACGCCCACAUUGGGACUGAGAUACGGCCCAAACUCCUACGGGAGGCAGCAGCUAAGAAUAUUCCGCAAUGGACGAAAGUCUGACGGAGCGACGCCGCGUGGAUGAUGAAGGCCGGAAGGUUGUAAAAUCCUUUUGUCGGGGAAGAAUAAGCAUGGGAGGGAAUGCCCGUGUGAUGACAUGAACCGGCGAAUAAGCCCCGGCUAACUACGUGCCAGCAGCCGAC